Molecule: ribosomal RNA, 505 nt
Filed under: uncultured bacterium
Lineage: Bacteria
Description: partial 16S ribosomal RNA
Rfam family: Bacterial small subunit ribosomal RNA
Source: RNAcentral
GACGAACGCUGGCGGCGUGCCUAAUACAUGCAAGUAGAACGCACAGUUUAUACCGUAGCUUGCUACACCAUAAACUGUGAGUUGCGAACGGGUGAGUAACGCGUAGGUAACCUGCCUGGUAGCGGGGGAUAACUAUUGGAAACGAUAGCUAAUACCGCAUAAUAUUAAUUAUUGCAUGAUAAUUGAUUGAAAGAUGCAAUUGCAUCACUACCAGAUGGACCUGCGUUGUAUUAGCUAGUAGGUGAGGUAACGGCUCACCUAGGCGACGAUACAUAGCCGACCUGAGAGGGUGAUCGGCCACACUGGGACUGAGACACGGCCCAGACUCCUACGGGAGGCAGCAGUAGGGAAUCUUCGGCAAUGGACGAAAGUCUGACCGAGCAACGCCGCGUGAGUGAAGAAGGUUUUCGGAUCGUAAAGCUCUGUUGUAAGAGAAGAACGGGUGUGAGAGUGGAAAGUUCUCACUGUGACGGUAUCUUACCAGAAAGAGACGGCUAACUACGUG